This 208-nucleotide ribosomal RNA is filed under the name Gerres filamentosus (whipfin silverbiddy). RNAcentral describes it as "partial 16S ribosomal RNA". The record is from RNAcentral. Lineage: Eukaryota; Metazoa; Chordata; Actinopteri; Gerreiformes; Gerreidae.
GCCCACCAGCUAGCUCAACUAAUUAAAUACAACACCCCCACAUAAAUUAAACCCUAAAAUGACCUAACCCCAAAAACAAAUCAUUUUUCCCCCUAAGUACGGGCGACGGAAAAGAGACCUAUGAAGCGAUAGAAUAAGUACCGCAAGGGAAUGCUGAAAAAGAAGUGAAACAGACCAGUAAAGCCUAAAAAAGCAGAGCCUAAACCUC